RNAcentral lists this long non-coding RNA (7725 nucleotides) under Daucus carota (carrot). RNAcentral describes it as "long non-coding RNA (DCAR_LNC000293)". Lineage: Eukaryota; Viridiplantae; Streptophyta; Magnoliopsida; Apiales; Apiaceae. The record is from RNAcentral.
UAAGAACAAAAGAUAAAACUUUGCAUUAAAAUAUUAAAGUGUUUACAAAAUGAGAAGAGAGCAUACAAAUUAAAACUAGAUCUAGACUAUAAAAGAGAGGCUACUAAAAAUAUGAAAUCCUAGGUUGCUAGGUUACUCCUUACAAGUAAAGAUAAGGGAGUAUUUAUAACUAAAGAAUUAGGGUUUGGGGGUAGGGUGGCUCAAUCUUGACCAUCCAUGUGCCUUGUGUGUUGGGAAGAUUGUGGCCCUCCAUGUGUCCCUUAGUUGCCAACUCUUUUUUUCUUCUUUUCUUUUCCCUUUUCUUCUUUUUCUUGCAUUUUCUCUUCUUUCUUUAUUUACCUACAAUUUCCUGAAAUAAAAUAAAUAAGCGAUUAAUACUACGAAAAUAAACAAAAAAUAGGCACUUAAAUAUGCAAAAAUAUGGACUAAUCAAACUUCCCCAUACCUAUCUUUUGCUCGUCCUCGAGUAAAAAUCAAAAGAAAAGAAAAUAAACUAAGAAAACUAGAUGCGAUUCCUAGGCUCCUUUUCGUAGGCGUGACGGGUGAUUUUAGGUUCACCAACCCGUUAAACUCGUAGACGAUCUCUACAAGAGGAGUUUUGUCUCCUAAGGGUUUACAGAAGAUAUACCCAUAAAAUCUUCGAGACAUUCUAGCAAGUGUCUACUCGACUCUACUCUAAUUUCGUUGGUGUUAACAAAAAGCGUUUUUAAGGAAAAUACGACUUAAAGACUCAUCUACUAAUAAUCAAGAUACAGUUGUCUCUAAUCUACUUGCAUCGACACAAAGAUUUACUAGAAAUCCAAGGAGUGUAAGUAAUUUAAGGCCUUUGAUGGAUCCUAAUUGUCUAAGAAUACUUUCUCUUCUUCAACCAAUUUUGAACUUACCCAAUCUCUAUCGAAACAAAAAUCUAGCCAAACUUCACAAACUCUUAUUCUUUUUUUUCUUUUUUCUUUUUUCUCUUUUUUUUUUUUCUUUUUUGCAUUGACUUUAUUUUGUCCGUUUUCUUAGGCAAACAAUGUUACCCAUGUAGCGAGCUUUGGGUCAGUGACUCCCAAACCAAACGGUUUUAGGGCACUAGGUUUUGAAAUCCCCCUACGGACUUAAUUACUCGAGUAACAAAGGCCACAAAACGAGACUAGCCAAUCUACUUUUGCCCAUUUAUCUAAAGAUUUUAUCUAUAAAGAACAAUGGGUAUUGAAGUAGUUUAUUCCUCCUUUUUUUUUUUUUUUAAUCUCUCUUUUUUUUUCUAUUUUUUUAUUCGCAAAGGUUCGAUUCGACAUUGUUUCAACAUGUGGGUUCUCUCUCAGGUAUCGAAUAAUAUCACUAGACAAUCUCUCCAUCAAAGGUCUUCUGCAAAGUGUGUGCCAUCUUGGAAUUUAGAGUACAAAUCGGUCGAUACAAGUUUCAAAAAGACAACCUUACUCAACUACGUUCAAAUUAUCUAAAAGACACUACAUAUAUAUACUUUUCGAAAACAUGCUAAACACCAACUACUCCUAAAGUUCGAGUGAGGGAAAGACAACUUAGCUAAAAGAAUCUCUAUUUUUGGAUUUUUCUAAUUUUUCAUUUUUUAGGGUUUUCAUUUUUUUAGAAUUACACUAAAGCCCUCCCCAUACCUAAAUCAUGCAUUGUCCUCAAAGUAUGCAAAAGAGAGAUUUAAAAUGAGAGAGUAAAGAGAAAAAUAUCUGAAAUGGAUAUGAAGCGGAUUUUUAUUAACGAAUGAAACACUAACACGACCCACACACGCACACAUUUCCUUCCCCAUACCUGAACUUCAUGAGGGAAGGUUCUAAGGAGGAACCACUUCAGCCAAUUCCGGAAGGAAAGAUAGGAGGAAGCUUCGAGAAAGAGUCAAAAUGUUUUCGAAAAUUUUUAUGCACAAAUACUUUCUCUAGCACGUCACCAUCGUUUACCCCUAUAGGACAAGUAUCACUAAUGUUCUCCCUAAACCAACUUAACGCUUCUUUAUUAUCAAGCAAAUUAGAGACUAUGCAUUUUUGGUCAUAGGAUAAAUCACUAGGAACGAUGUAAGAAAUGAUGUCAUCCUUUCCUAAGGCGCUAUGUGAAUGAUGGAACAAUGAGUCAAAUGUCGGUAAUUCACCUACAUGACUCUCUAAAUCGGGCCUAGGGUCAACACGCACAAUCUCGGGCGGAGUUUCCCAUUUUGAACAAAUUUCGUUCAAUUCUCCUAACAACUCCUCCGAGGUCAACUCUUUCAACGACUCAUGAUAUUUCCUAUUGUUCUCGUUGUUGGCUUUGAAAUCCUCGUUGAGAAGAGACUCAAUCUCACUAUCCUCAAAGCUAGACCAUGUGACAAACUUGUUGACUACAUUAACCCCUAUUGGUUGCUCAUAAAGCUCGUUGGGUUCUUUUCCUACAUUGAAAAUGUUUAAGUCUAUGGUCAUGUUUCCAAAAGUGAGCUUCAUUGAACCAUUCCUACAAUUAAUUAAGGCAUUGGAUGUAGCAAGAAAAGGCCGUCCUAAAAUGAUAGGAAUUUGGUUCUUAGGAUUCGAGACGGGUUGAGUCUCGAGAACAACAAAGUCAACGGGAAAGAUAAAAUCACCGAUUUUGAUUAACACAUCCUCAAUAAUUCCCUUCGGCAUCUUAAUGGAACGAUCGGCAAGUUGAAGGGUCAUAUUGGUGGUCUUGAGAUCCCCUAAACCUAGGGCUUGGUAGACCGAGAAAGGAAGAAGAUUCACACUCGCUCCUAAAUCAAGUAAAGCUUUAUCCACAAAAGUAUUGCCUAUGACACAAGAAAUUGUAGGACAACCGGGGUCCUUAUAUUUCACGGGAAUUUGAUUCGAGAGAAUCGAGCUUACUUGCGAGGUCAAAAAGGCUUUCUUAGGAACAUGGGUGGUUCUCUUAUGGGUACACAAAUCUUUUAGACACUUGGCAUAAGAAGGAACUUGUUGAAUGGCAUCUAAAAGAGGAAUGUUUAUCUUGACUUGUUUGAAAACCUCUAGAAUUUGUUCCAGUUGGGCCGAUUUUUUAGGAGGAAUGAGUCUUUGUGGGUAAGGAACCCUUGGCUUGUAAACUUCUUCGUUGGGCUUUUGAGAAAUAGGCCCAGGAUUAGGUUCACUCAUAGACUCACGGGCUUUUGAACAUUCGGGCUUAUCAUGAUUAGUGCUAGACAAAGAAGGAUUUGUUUUAGGAAUCGACUCCUCAUUUUCAUUAACGUUCUCACCAACUUUGUUAUCCACUUGAUUUCCCGACCUUAGAGAGAUAAUCGCAUUAACAUUCUCGGGAGGUCUUUGAUUGAGAGGAAACUUAGGAUUGACCUCGGGUUGACUUGGCAACUUGUUCUUCUCUCGCUCACACAACGCGCUAGCUAAUUGACUCAAUUGGGCCUCUAACUUAGACACGGCUUGCACAUUAGAAUGCAAAAUUUGCCUAUCUUGGGUUAGGGUUGUCAUGAAGGUUUGUUGUGAUUGAGUCAAAUUAGUUUGCGAUUUAACUAAGGCUUCCAAACUCUUUUCUAAAGAAUUGAGGCGUUUAUCCGAAUCAUUGAAACCGGGAGGAUUCAAAGGAGUUUGAAUUGGGUUAUGACAUGAAUUUGGACCUUGAUUUGGGUAAGAGUUUGGGUUGGGCCUUUGUUGAAAAUUUUGUUGAGGAGUUGGAAAAGAAUUUGGCCCUUGAUUCAUUUGAAAAUUGGGUUGAGGAACUUGACAAUUUUGACCUUGGGUCCAUGAGAAAUUUGGGUGAUUUCUCCACCCGGGAUUAUAAGUGGGUGCAAACGCAUCAUUCCUAGAAUUUUGAAACAUCGCAUUUACUUGUUCAAGUUCGUGCGAAGGUUGGGUUCCGGGAUUUUGAAAAUUGUAAUUAGGGAGCAUCGACAUUUGUGGGGGAGAUUUACUAGUUUCUAAAGCUUCAAGUCUCCUAGUUAGGGUGGCUAGUUUGGCAUCGGUUGCCACAUUAUUUCCUAUCGAAUGCAAGCCCCUAGCGCUAGAUGACUGAAUUGACUUUUUGGGCUCCCUAGUUGACUCCCACAUCAUAGUCUUUUCCGCUAAAUCCUCGAAAAAUUCCCACCCUUGAUCCUCAUCUUUUUCCAUGAAUUUACCUUGGCACAUAGACUCUAAUAACGCGGUGGUUUGACUAUCUAAGGCCUCGUAAACUAUCUUGCAAAGUCUCCAUUUUUCUAUUCCGUGGUGGGGGCAUUGUGAGAGAAGAUUUUUGAAGCGGUCAAAGAAAAUCCAAAAAGACUCAUUUUCCUUUUGAUGAAAUUGAUUUAUUUCAUUUGUAAUUCGAGUAGUCUUAUGAUUUGGAAAAUACUUUUUAAGAAACACCACAACGAACCCCUCCCACGUGGAAAUAGAAUUAACGGGAAGACUAUAUAACCAUUUUUUCGCAUUCUCCUUAAGCGCAAAAUUAAUGAGCCUAAGUCUAAUCGAAUCUUCCGUUAAUUGGUGGAGCUUUUGGAGGGAACAAACUUCCUCGAACUCUUGGAUAAAAAGAUAAGGAUCCUCACCCUCACUCCCGGUAAAUUUAGGUAACAUGCUAAUGUGGUGAGCUUUGAUUUCAAAAUUGUUCCCAUUAACGGGAGGAAGGGUGAUGCACGAAGGUUGACUUGAACGAGAUGGAUAACAACGAUCCUUGAGUGAAAGGGCCAUGUUUACUAUCGGUUCUAGAACUUCUAGGGUUUCGGAAUCCGAAGAGGACGAGGGAAUCUCGAUUAUAGGUCUUACUAAUCUAGACGAUUCGUUCCUAACCCAAGUAGUUCGCAUAAACUAGAUAGUAAACACGUAGCAAGUAAGUGCGAAAAAUUAAAACACACAAAAGAAAGGGUGUAAAAGAGAAAGAAAAACCUAAAUCUAGGGUUCCCUAAAAAAAAUAAACUAGACCUUGCUCCUAACGUUAAGGACCACCAAAAACUCGAUAAAUCCAAAAUUAUUCGGACCGGUUUGGCCAGUUUGGAGCAGGCAUUGCCAAGAGGCCAAUCUCCGCGCUUAGACACCAAACCUUAAUCGGCCAGGUAAGCUUUCGCUUGCCUUAGACACCGAAAAGUCGGAAUAAUUAAAGAUUACCUCGUCUUUUAGGUACCUUCCUAAUUGAGCGCGAAAUCCUAGGGGCUAACGUCUAAUUCAAUUUUAUUAAAAGGCUAGGGAAAUGCAAAAUGAAGUAAUUAAAUCGUUGUGGGCCAAGGAAAGAGUGAUCAAAUCCCUUCCCUUAUCUUAUGAGUGGGUUUUGCCCUUAAGAUUUAUUUAAAAUGAUGCUCCACACAACGAGAUAAUUAAAGCGGUAAACAACUAUGGAUGCUCUACACUACGUGUUUUAUCUAAAGAAAGAAAGAAAAUUAACGUACCUUUGGGUCUUCCAGCAAUCACCACAAUUUAAGGUACGAAAAUUUAAAAACAAAAAUUAAAAACUAGAUGAUGUGCCCUAAGUGAUUAAAUGCAUGAUGCAACACAUAUGUAAUUCUAUCUAAUAUUUUUGGAUUUUAAAAUUUUUAAUUUGUUUGUGAUUUUUUAAUUUUCAAUUUUUUUGUGAUUUUCUAAAUAAAAUAAAUUGAAAUAGGAGAGAGAUACAAGUUACCCAAGCAAGCUUCCAAUACUCCAAGAAUAUUCUCCACUUAUUCCAAGCUAGCUCAUACUCUUCCAAUUUCCUAAAAUUCAACAAAAAAAGAAGUGAGAGAAUAUAAAAAAAAACUAAUCCGAAAAAUUAAAAAUUAAGGCGCGAAAAUUAAUUUUAGUCCCCGGCAGCGGCGCCAAAAACUUGAUGUGCUCGAAAAGAGAUUUAAAAAUAAUCGCAAGCGCACGAUCUCCGUUUUAAUAUUUAUGAUUCGUUCCACAGGGAUUAAAAUUUUAUUCUCGCAACCUUAAAUUAAUAAAUUAUGCGGAUUAGAACAAUUAAUUGUGAGAGGGGUUUUUGACAUAAAGUCUAAAAUGCUCACUUAGAAAGUAAUUUAAUUAGAGUAAUUAAUUAUCACUUAAAAAGAUUUACUAAUUAACAUGUCUAAGUUAAAUGGAUCAGAAUUUAAGUACUAAAUUAACUAGCGGCCAAAACUUCAGUUGUAAACACUACUAAGUUAACAAAAAAAAACUAAUCUGGCAGGGUAUAUAAAAACUACGACAAAGCAAGCACAUGACUAUCGUAAUUGUAUAUUAAAACAAAUGAUGAAAACACUUUGAAACUUCAGCCAACAUCUACGGAAUACAAAAAUAAAAGAAAUAAACUAGCACCAGGCAAUGAACUCGGUGGUGACUCAGCAGGUUAAACUAACAGAAACGAACCCACGAAACAAACUUAAGUUAAAGCAAAGCAAACACAUAAAUUCACCAGAAUACUACACAACUCAAAGGUGACUCGAUUAAAUACAAGCCAAACUCGUUAAACAAACUCAGUGCAGACAACUCAAAACUCAGCAAGAACACAAUCAAAAGCAAAGAAAAUGGGUUCGAAAACAGGACAAACUCGAGCAGCAUACAUACUUAAGUCAGAACUCGGUGCAAAACAGAAAAUCGAUUCACAAGAAACUGGAUUGAAAACUCUGUCUAAACUCAGCGAGUAAAAACAAGAAGAAAAUAUCACAGCAGCGGAAAAGAAAUGCCUCGGAACGGACUCGGUUUUGGACAGACUCAGAAAACAUGUACUCGGCUACAAACCCAGCUUGGCGAAUCAGAAACAAACAACUCGAUGCUGUGACUCGAAUGACUCAUGAGCAGACUUGACGAAAACAGAGCAAUGCAGACAAACAAAAGAUGCAGCUCGAAAAAAAACCAUACUAAACUCAACAUCAGAAAAUCAGAACUCGGCGAACACAGGCUCGCAGGUGGACUCGGUAGACUAUUCAGUAACAACGGGACAGAAACAACGACUCAAACAACACCAACGAUACUAAGUAAACAAAUCGCAACUCGGAAAAACAGAGGAGCAGCUACAGUACUCAGUGAGUCGACUCAGUGAGGUGACUCGCGGCAAAUCGAAAGCUCAAUGAAGACAAAAUAAAGCAGGGUUUUGUUUUAAACGAAAAGAAGAUUAAUAGUUUAGUAUAACGCGAAACAGGGGAGUUAUACUGCUGUGCUUGUAGUAAAGAAACAAGGAAAUGGGUUUUAAAACAGAGCGAAAGUGUUUGCUUAUAUUAAAGAAAACUAAUCUAAAAGCACGAACAAUUCAGGACUUUUCGGAAUAGACCCUCACACAAAUUGAUUUUGUGUAAGGUUCAAACACCUCUCAAAAAGUAAAUUUAAAGCUAGAAAUUAACUACAUUAUAGGCUCCUUCCAAUCUACAAACAAAUUUGAACCUUUUGUAGUUAGAGGAAGAUUUCAUAGCCAAAGUAAACAUAAAGAACAAGAAUGUAAGAACAAAAGAUAAAACUUUGCAUUAAAAUAUUAAAGUGUUUACAAAAUGAGAAGAGAGCAUACAAAUUAAAACUAGAUCUAGACUAUAAAAGAGAGGCUACUAAAAAUAUGAAAUCCUAGGUUGCUAGGUUACUCCUUACAAGUAAAGAUAAGGGGGUAUUUAUAACUAAAGAAUUAGGGUUUAGGGGUAGGGUGGCUCAAUCUUGACCAUCCAUGUGCCUUGUGUGUUGGGAAGAUUGUGGCCCUCCAUGUGUCCCUUAGUUGCCAACUCUUUUUUUCUUCUUUUCUUUUCCCUUUUCUUCUUUUUCUUGCAUUUUCUCUUCUUUCUUUAUUUACCUACAAUUUCCUGAAAUAAAAUAAAUAAGUGAUUAAUACUACGAAAAUAAACAAAAAAUAGGCACUUAAAUAUGCAAAAAUAUGGACUAAUCA